AAAGCGUGUUUUGAAAAACACCAAACAACAACUAUGUCUGCGGAACGAAAUAAAAAAAUUAAAACAAACAAACAACAACAAGGCAACUGCAGACUCAACUAAAGUUUUGUAAUAAAAACAGUGCUAUUUGUUUAGUGACCAUUUCGGGCAACAAGUUUUUACCAGAUUUGUGACCCAAUUAUUGCCAAACAGGUUGGAGUCUCUCAGUUUUUAGCUUUUUUUUCGGGCCGGGGACGGAAAAGGGGGCGUGGUCAAGAGAGCGGAAAGGGCGAAACAAUAAAGAGCGCACAAAGCGGGAAAAAACAAUAAGAACAACACGGGAAGGACGACGGACGACGAAGCAGCAAACAAGAAAAUGCAAAGACGCGCGCGCAAUGUUAACGUUGUAAGCGUUGCGGUGGCAAAAGAGAGACUGAAACUGCGCCUGAGAAGCAGAAGCAAAGGCGAAACGGAAGCAGCGGCCAAAGAAGAGCAGCAACAAAUCCACCAUAUGAUCGGGGCAACAACAACAACUGCGGCCCAGUGGUGGUGGCUAAACAAGUUUCAAAAGGGUUAAGCCAUCAAACUUCUGCACUUGUCUCUAUGUAUACUUAGUUAUGAUUUAAUCAAAACGCGCACAGCCAUUUUAAUUACCUUUAAGUUGCACA
Molecule: long non-coding RNA, 647 nt
Filed under: Drosophila melanogaster (fruit fly)
Lineage: Eukaryota; Metazoa; Arthropoda; Insecta; Diptera; Drosophilidae
Description: antisense RNA:CR45134 (Dmel_CR45134)
Source: RNAcentral